RNAcentral lists this ribosomal RNA (1372 nucleotides) under uncultured bacterium. RNAcentral describes it as "bacterial SSU rRNA". It matches the Rfam family "Bacterial small subunit ribosomal RNA", at positions 28 to 1381 of the family's 1533-position model. The record is from RNAcentral.
GAUGAACGCUGGCGGCGUGCCUAAUACAUGCAAGUCGAGCGAACGGACGAGAAGCUUGCUUCUCUGACGUUAGCGGCGGACGGGUGAGUAACACGUGGAUAACCUACCUAUAAGACUGGGAUAACUUCGGGAAACCGGAGCUAAUACCGGAUAAUAUUUUGAACCGCAUGGUUCAAAAGUGAAAGACGGUCUUGCUGUCACUUAUAGAUGGAUCCGCGCUGCAUUAGCUAGUUGGUAAGGUAACGGCUUACCAAGGCAACGAUGCAUAGCCGACCUGAGAGGGUGAUCGGCCACACUGGAACUGAGACACGGUCCAGACUCCUACGGGAGGCAGCAGUAGGGAAUCUUCCGCAAUGGGCGAAAGCCUGACGGAGCAACGCCGCGUGAGUGAUGAAGGUCUUCGGAUCGUAAAACUCUGUUAUUAGGGAAGAACAUAUGUGUAAGUAACUGUGCACAUCUUGACGGUACCUAAUCAGAAAGCCACGGCUAACUACGUGCCAGCAGCCGCGGUAAUACGUAGGUGGCAAGCGUUAUCCGGAAUUAUUGGGCGUAAAGCGCGCGUAGGCGGUUUUUUAAGUCUGAUGUGAAAGCCCACGGCUCAACCGUGGAGGGUCAUUGGAAACUGGAAAACUUGAGUGCAGAAGAGGAAAGUGGAAUUCCAUGUGUAGCGGUGAAAUGCGCAGAGAUAUGGAGGAACACCAGUGGCGAAGGCGACUUUCUGGUCUGUAACUGACGCUGAUGUGCGAAAGCGUGGGGAUCAAACAGGAUUAGAUACCCUGGUAGUCCACGCCGUAAACGAUGAGUGCUAAGUGUUAGGGGGUUUCCGCCCCUUAGUGCUGCAGCUAACGCAUUAAGCACUCCGCCUGGGGAGUACGACCGCAAGGUUGAAACUCAAAGGAAUUGACGGGGACCCGCACAAGCGGUGGAGCAUGUGGUUUAAUUCGAAGCAACGCGAAGAACCUUACCAAAUCUUGACAUCCUUUGACAACUCUAGAGAUAGAGCUUUCCCCUUCGGGGGACAAAGUGACAGGUGGUGCAUGGUUGUCGUCAGCUCGUGUCGUGAGAUGUUGGGUUAAGUCCCGCAACGAGCGCAACCCUUAAGCUUAGUUGCCAUCAUUAAGUUGGGCACUCUAAGUUGACUGCCGGUGACAAACCGGAGGAAGGUGGGGAUGACGUCAAAUCAUCAUGCCCCUUAUGAUUUGGGCUACACACGUGCUACAAUGGACAAUACAAAGGGCAGCGAAACCGCGAGGUCAAGCAAAUCCCAUAAAGUUGUUCUCAGUUCGGAUUGUAGUCUGCAACUCGACUACAUGAAGCUGGAAUCGCUAGUAAUCGUAGAUCAGCAUGCUACGGUGAAUACGUUCCCGGGUCU